GGCGAGUAGCGCAGCUUGGUAGCGCAACUGGUUUGGGACCAGUGGGUCGGAGGUUCGAAUCCUCUCUGCAUUUCGUCA
Molecule: transfer RNA, 78 nt
Filed under: Escherichia coli
Lineage: Bacteria; Pseudomonadati; Pseudomonadota; Gammaproteobacteria; Enterobacterales; Enterobacteriaceae
Description: tRNA-Pro
Rfam family: tRNA (bases 5-67)
About the family: Transfer RNA (tRNA) molecules are approximately 80 nucleotides in length. Their secondary structure includes four short double-helical elements and three loops (D, anti-codon, and T loops).
Source: RNAcentral